GACGAACGCUGGCGGCGUGCUUAACACAUGCAAGUCGAACGGAAAGGCCCUGCUCUUGUGGGGUGCUCGAGUGGCGAACGGGUGAGUAACACGUGAGUAAACUGCCCUUGAAUUUGGGAUAACUUCAGGAAACUGGGGCUAAUAUAGGAUAGGAGCUCCUGAUGCAUGGUGGGGGUUGGAAAGUUUCGGCGGUUGGGGAUGGACUCGAGGCUUAUCAGCUUGUUGGUGGGGUAGUGGCGUACAAAGGCUUCGACGGGUAGCCGGCCUGAGAGGGUGACCGGCGACAUUGGGACUGAGAUACGGCCCAGACUCCUACGGGAGGCAGCAGUGGGGAAUAUUGCACAAUGGGCGGAAGCCUGAUGCAGCAACGCCGCGUGCGGGAUGACGGCCUACGGGUUGUAAACCGCUUUCGCCUGUGACGAAGCGUGAGUGACGGUAAUGGGUAAGGAAGCACCGGCUAACUACGUG
RNAcentral lists this ribosomal RNA (468 nucleotides) under uncultured bacterium. RNAcentral's name for it is "partial 16S ribosomal RNA". It matches the Rfam family "Bacterial small subunit ribosomal RNA", at positions 28 to 507 of the family's 1533-position model. The record is from RNAcentral.